RNAcentral lists this ribosomal RNA (278 nucleotides) under uncultured bacterium. Its description in RNAcentral is "partial 16S ribosomal RNA". It matches the Rfam family "Bacterial small subunit ribosomal RNA", at positions 29 to 334 of the family's 1533-position model. The record is from RNAcentral.
AACGAACGUUGGCGGCACGCUUAACACAUGCAAGUCGAACGAACCCUUCGGGGUGAGUGGCGCACGGGUGCGUAACACGUGGGAAUAUACACAUAGGUAAGGAAUAACACAGAGAAAUUUGUGCUAAUACCUUAUAAUAACUCCGGUUCAAAGAUUUAUCGCCUAUGGAUUAGCCCGCGCUAGAUUAGUUUGUUGGUGAGGUAAGAGCUCACCAAGACUACGAUCUAUAGCUGGUCUUAGAGGAUGAUCAGCCACACUGGAACUGAGACACGGUCCAG